RNAcentral lists this ribosomal RNA (324 nucleotides) under uncultured eukaryote. RNAcentral's name for it is "partial 18S ribosomal RNA". It matches the Rfam family "Eukaryotic small subunit ribosomal RNA", at positions 1470 to 1796 of the family's 1831-position model. The record is from RNAcentral.
CCCUUAGAUGUUCUGGGCUGCACGCGCGCUACACUGAAGCUAUCAACACGUUUUCCCUCCCUGAGAAGGGCGGGUAACCUUCUGAAUCAGCUUCGUGGUAGGGAUCGGGGCUUGCAAUUGUUCCCCGUGAACCAGGAAUUCCUAGUAGACGCGAGUCAUAAGCUCGCAUCGAUUAAGUCCCUGCCCUUUGUACACACCGCCCGUCGCUACUACCGAUUGAACGUUUUAGUGAGGCAUUUGGACCGACGCAUCUCAGUUUAACCGCUGGUUUGUGUUGGAAAGACUUCCAAACUUGAGCGUUUAGAGGAAGUAAAAGUCGUAACA